GAGGGUGUAGCUCAGUGGUAGAGCACAUGCUUAACAUGCAUGAGGUCCUGGGUUCAAUCUCUAGUACCUCCG
This 72-nucleotide transfer RNA is filed under the name Camelus bactrianus (Bactrian camel). It matches the Rfam family "tRNA". Rfam says of the family: Transfer RNA (tRNA) molecules are approximately 80 nucleotides in length. Their secondary structure includes four short double-helical elements and three loops (D, anti-codon, and T loops). The record is from Rfam by way of RNAcentral. Lineage: Eukaryota; Metazoa; Chordata; Mammalia; Artiodactyla; Camelidae. RNAcentral also lists the same sequence under 1 other name.